UGAAAAAGUGUAUUUUGCAUAAUAUGUGACCUUUAAGGCACUGGAAAAGCUACUUUUUGUUUUAUGGCGAACAAAAAAUGACCACAAAUAUGUUUUUUGAUGUGACUUGACAACAAUGAGCAGAACGUUCAUUUUUCAUGUUCACAUCGCACUUGUGGGAAUUUAAUAAAAGGUCUAAGACAGUGAUGUUUAUCUUUCCAUACAAAAGUAAUAGUUAUUACAAAUGUAGUCAUUAUUACAUUUGCAGGAGGCAACUGCUAUUAAGUUUGUGGGAUUAUUACAUUAAAAGCUGCAGAUUUUUAUCACAUAUGUUGUUUAUAACAUUUAUGGGCAGUUAUUAAGUUUGUGGGUGUUACACCAACCCAAAAAGAGGAGGAGUUUAUUGUUUGGAGGGUGCUCCUUGUUUCACUUCCUCUGUUACACCAACCCACCAACUUUAGAGAGUAAAGUCAUUAAAUGUGAUUUAAUGACUUUACUCCCUGAAGUUCGAGCCCAAAGCCGCAGAGUUCAGAGGUCAGAACUGAAAACACAUGGUAGUUUUUGUUUUUUAAAAUAGUUUGAAGCAAAAAACAAAAUCAUGUUUGAAAGCGCUGCUCUCAGUGUUUUCUACUCUACUGCUAAUACUUCAGGUCUUGUUUUCACCUAAACUGACUGCUUUCAACAAUAAUGGAAAAAUAAACAGUUAAAUCUCUGUUUUAAAGAGCUUAAUCAAAUUCAUCUGAAAUAGCUCUGUUUGGGUACAGCCACUAAAAAUGUCCUUUUCUCCGCCAUUUCUUAAAAUAAAAGCAUAAAAAAAGACAAGUGGCAACCUUCGGUCCUGAAAAAUGAAGCCAAUGCGGAAGUGCAAAAAAUUGCAAUACAGCAACACCGAAGUCCCGUCUAAACACCUGUUAAACAGCCAGUUUUUACACUAGAAAUAAACCGAUUUACAGCCUGGUUCAAAUAACCAAACGCGUCUCAUUAGCUAGUGUCUUCAUGUGCUUUCACUGUACGGGGGGUGAAUUUUUUUUGUACCACAAUCGUUUCAAUUAUAUUGAGGAAAAACCUCACUGCACACCGAUUGGUGCGCCUCAUCUGAUUGACAGAUAGCUUGACAGGCAGAGGCUCUGUUUCUGUCAACCAGAAUGUUAGCUAGCUAGCUGACAGGAAGUUGAGGUUAGGCCGCUAGGUUGUGCCCCUGUGUUCUUGUUUCUGGUUUCCUUAUCUUUCUAUCUUUCUAUCAUCUUAUCCUCUGUAUAAAGGCAUUAAAAAGCCCCCACAUAAAUGUAAAAAAAAAAAAAAUUCAUACAAACAUCAUUACUGCUCUUAAACAGCUGAAUAAUGCUGACAUAAAGCUGGUAAGGAGGCUUUAUUUGGGACUAUUUUCUGCAGUGGAUAAAUCUAUGUUUUCUGGGAGUGUUUCCCGUGCCAGGAUGGUUUGAUUGAGUCAAAAUAAACUGUGUAAUCAUGGUGAUGAAGGAAAAUAUCUUCCGGUGCAGCAGAGUGACUCACAGAUGUGUUUUAAAUCGUGUUU
Cheilinus undulatus (humphead wrasse) is the source of this 1513-nucleotide long non-coding RNA. RefSeq lists it as uncharacterized. NCBI's taxonomy places the organism in Eukaryota, Metazoa, Chordata, Actinopteri, Labriformes, Labridae. The transcript is spliced from 2 exons. The record is from RefSeq and is a predicted model, not a curated record.